Molecule: long non-coding RNA, 1499 nt
Organism: Alligator sinensis (Chinese alligator)
Lineage: Eukaryota; Metazoa; Chordata; Crocodylia; Alligatoridae
Exons: 3
Source: RefSeq, a predicted model, not a curated record
UCCAGAAGCUUGAGACAUCUGCCCUCAAACUGACAGCGCCUGGGAGGGAGGAAGGGAGGGAAGGAGGGACAGGAUGGGCUGCUUCUGGCCAAGGGGUCCGACCCGCAGAUCUGCCCCUGCCUGGGAAGCUCAGCCAUUUGAAGUAUCCCAGAUGGACAGCUCCUCCUCUCACCCAAUAAGGGCCUGAUCUAUACAGACUUCAAAGGCAGCGUUGACUGAGUAAAACCUUCAGGACUGGACCAAAAUGGACAUGAUUCUCCUCUUAUUUGUAUCCUAUUUACACCAGGGACUUUGAAGUUAUCCCUGAUUCAUAUCAGCUUCAGAGAAUAGUUGGGUCUCAUAUGUCUGGGAAGCAUUUUAUUUGUUCUUUUAUAUAACGAUGAAGGCAACAUUCUGGCUCAAGCACAACCUCAGGCCUGAUGCAGCCGGCAGAUCUGCUCUUUGUGAUGCUCUGUGCUCAUGGAGGGAGUCCCACUGAAAUCAAAGGCAGGAUCCCGCCAAUCCUCAAUGCUUGAAAAUUCCCUUUCAAGUCACAGAAAAAACGCGUCACACUGCCAGUGAAGGAAUGAAACAGCUUCACUAAGGACGUCUCCAUACGCAAAUAUUACGGCUGGAAACAAAAAGAGGAAAGACGAACAGCACUGACAGGAUCCCUCUAAAUGAGAUAUGUUUGCUGUGGAAGCAGAGGCUGACUUCUGCACAAGGUAUAGCUCUACCCUGGGGGGGAAAACGUAAAAACAACUAUGAUUGGAUCCCAUGGUUAUGGUUGCCUUGAUUUUCUAAGCCAAACAUACUCUGCCAGCAAGAUGUUUUUUUCUAAUGGCCAGCCCUGCUACUUCAACCCAGAUGACAAAGGCCACAUCCUAAGCUUCUCAUUCUAGGUCCGGCUGAUGUUGCCCCAGCACUGCAAAGGGAACCUGAAGAUUUUUAAGGCAGCAACUGAAGGCUUCCUAGUGUGGGGACAGCUACUAAAAUAGCCAUCCACUCCCGCCCAGGCCAGUGUAGGGUGUUCCAGGCCUGUAUGGGACGGAUGGCCCGUGGUGCACCCUGGUGCUCUUGGCUGAUAAGGAAACACCUUGAGAAUCAUUAUUUGCCCGCAUAAUCUAGAGCAACUCUAAGGCUGUUCUACCUUGCUCAAAGGCUGAUUUAACCUGCUUCCCCCAAGAUGAAAUGUGGAAAGCCAACAUAAAACCACUUCCCACCCCUAUCUUCAGCCAUUUUUCCAAGGGUAUGCCCUGAAAAAUCAAGCUCGGUUCCUUCUAUCUCAUGCACCAUCAUCAGGACUGAAUAAAGUUUUUGCCAACAUAGGCUUAUAACUGUGGUUUCAUUCAUAUCAGCGUAGAUCAGGACUACCUCAACCAACUAACCAGAGGGCACAUCUGCACAAGACACUACAGUGCAGUCAUUAUUGUGAACAUCUUUUAGAUAAUGCUACCAUGCAGUAGCCAAAUAAUACUGCACAGGUAACGUGUUAGCACUGUCCAUGCUGUGACACACUA